CUUUGCCCAACACCUUCAUAUUGUUGUGCAUUGAGUGCUCGAUUCGCAAUGAGGGUUUUGGCAUCCCUAGGUGUCUUAUCCACUAGAGCUCCUCCCGCGGAAGCAUCCAACAUUUGUCGUUCAAGUGGUAAAAGACCUUCGUAAAAGUAUUGAAGAAGUAGCUCCUCCUUCAUCUGAUGCUGUGGACAAGAAGCAACAAGUGAUUUAAAUCGUUCAUAAUA
This 221-nucleotide long non-coding RNA is filed under the name Malus domestica (apple). RNAcentral's name for it is "long non-coding RNA (MDOM_LNC013820)". The record is from RNAcentral. Lineage: Eukaryota; Viridiplantae; Streptophyta; Magnoliopsida; Rosales; Rosaceae.